CCCCUCUCAGGGUCACACCUGGAGAGUUCCCAGUACUCUGCCAGUCUUGACUGCAAGAGGGAGAGUCAGGCAGAAGCAUACCCGUUCCAUUCCUAGCUUGGGCAAUGUCUAGUGAGUAGAAGGCAAUCUGCUACAAGU
This 138-nucleotide small nucleolar RNA is filed under the name Ornithorhynchus anatinus (platypus). Lineage: Eukaryota; Metazoa; Chordata; Mammalia; Monotremata; Ornithorhynchidae. The record is from RNAcentral.